CCUGAAAUUAGUUUAGUUGGUUAUAGCAUGGUGCUAAUAAUGCCUAGGUCGUGGGUUCAAGCUCCAUACAGGC
Non-coding RNA from Lamprotornis superbus, 73 nucleotides. NCBI's taxonomy places the organism in Eukaryota, Metazoa, Chordata, Aves, Passeriformes, Sturnidae. The record is from the annotation of a GenBank genome assembly.